CCAUUUUCACUUAUUUAAUUCAUUUUGUCCCUUUUAAUUUAAUGAAAUUACUUCCCUUAUUCCAAAAAUUCCUAAUUUAUUCAUGAUUCAUAUUUUGAUAAUUACUUCAUUUUUUAUAUUUUUAGUUUUUAUUAUUGAAUUAUUUUAAUAUUUGUUUUUAAUUUUUAAUUUUAAUUAUGUUUAAUUAACCUAGUUUCAUUUGAUAGAUUUUAAUUUUGAUCUUCCCAUUGGAAUUUUGUCCCAAUAUUUUGUAAACAUAUUAGCCCAUGUAUAAAGGUCAUUUGAGUUUCCCUUUGUUGUUUUGCUUAUUAAUUUUGAAUAAUGUUUGAAUCUAUUUUUGAAGGUUGCU
Molecule: long non-coding RNA, 349 nt
Filed under: Lathyrus oleraceus (garden pea)
Lineage: Eukaryota; Viridiplantae; Streptophyta; Magnoliopsida; Fabales; Fabaceae
Description: Pisum sativum (pea) long non-coding RNA (PSAT_LNC016440)
Source: RNAcentral